RNAcentral lists this long non-coding RNA (2339 nucleotides) under Meleagris gallopavo (turkey). RNAcentral describes it as "lncRNA (ENSMGAG00000021212.1)". Lineage: Eukaryota; Metazoa; Chordata; Aves; Galliformes; Phasianidae. The record is from RNAcentral.
AUGUCCAGUGCCCAAAUCCCUGAGUGCCACAGACAGAGAGAAAAGGAAGAACAUUACAUAGUGGAUUGCUUAAGCCAUUAUACAGGGAGAAUUUGCUUGGACACAGCUUGCAAAACGCAUGUGCAGAUAUUAGACAGGACAUACGUGAUCAGCCUCUCUGAUGGGAACACCCCUCCCAAAGCCCUGAGGAAGAGGAGUUUGGUACAUGUCAGACAAAUGACCAAACCUCAGCUUUGCUUCUGCUUCACAGUACCAAACUGUCCACGGAUUGGACAGAAUUUCAUCCCUCCCUCUGAAGCAGAACAUGCUGCUCCCCUAGAGCAGCUUGUCCGCUUCACGUGGCUUCUGCUCUGCCCAGAAUACUAACAGGGGGAAAAACCAAAGCCAGAAGAGCCUCUUGCCCUCUGCCAAGCAAACCUCAAGCGCUGCCCACAGCACAGAGAUGGCAGUCAGAAGGGGAGUUGGGAGCUGGCCGCACAGUGGUGGCAUCACUGGAGAGGGGAGGCACCAGCUGGGCACUGAGAGAGGCUCAAUAAAAACGUCAGACCUUUUAUAACAUAAUUGCGUGCUUUAUUGAUAUACACAGUAAAGCAGUAUAUAGUACAAUAGUAAGGCAUAUAUUUGGUGAAAUCUGAUAUGUUGUGAAAAAUGCAGUAAAACAGAAGUUUAUAAAAAUAAUUAGUAAAUGUUACAGUGUUGGUGUUAAAACACAAUAUAUUAUGAUAUCCAAGUAAUAAACCAGUACUGAGUAACAAUGAAAUAACAUGCCAUAUGGUAUUUAUGUAUUCAAUUACACUGAUUAUGUUUUACAGUUUAAUACUUUGUCGUUAUAAGGAAUAUGAAACAAUUCCCAAAUUAUGCUUCAAAAAGCAGUGAUAAAGCUUUCAACUUUUUAAAUAUUUUUGACAGACUCACUCCAAAACUAAGACCUAGAAAGUAAAACAAACAAAACAAAACCCUGAUGAAAACAACCGUGCAAUCCAUUUUCCUCCUUUUGUUUUCUCAAGAGAAGGUUUAAAGGGGAGUAUAAGGGGGAAAAAUGAGAAGAAACCCAUCUCUUUCCCAGAUCUCAGACCAAACCUUCUGGUAAAGAAGACCACGAGAAUUACAUGGGGUUCCUACUGCAGUAAAGUGUUAAAUAAAGCUCUUUAUUACGAAAGCAGAGGUUUGGGGGGAUUGUACUUAUUCUUUGUGAAUUAUUAGCAUUCUUACUUAAAUGAUGAGACCCGUUCACACAAUGGACAAGUGGUGAUGAUGUAACAUAUCUGUACGUAAUUGUCAGGAACACCACAAAACCAAAGUGAGGUAGAAAUAGCAUGACUAGCCAUGUUCAAUGUUAACUAGCAUUCAAAAUAAAAUCUUUCCCAAGUUUAAUUACACUUCAUACAAGAAGAGGUAACAGAUUUUUACUUUGCAAUAUAAAGUCAGACGGUGUGUUUCUAUGUAUCUAAGAGAAAAUUAAAAGCUGGUUAAGAUAAUGAAGUGGUAAAGCUUUUGCUGACAGCACCUCAUACCCAAACCUACCUCUCAAGAGCUGCAGUUAUGCUGGCUAAUCUGUUUUUCUAUCAGUUCCUCUCUUUCUCACUCUAUUGUUAAUUGUGCGGUAUUACUUGUAGAGAGAAACGGGGAAGGAGAAAGCAUCAGGGCCUUUGUUUUGAAGAUAAAUAUCUCAGGGAGCAGUGUGGCUACCUUCACCUGAUCACCAUACACAUACAAGAACAGCAGUAAUUCUUCUACAGCCUUCCUCAAAGGUUGCUUGCUGCAUUACAGCUCCUUGGGACCAGCUGCUCUAGCAGGCUGAGACAGACAUUGCAGAAAAGUCUGGUUUUAUUUUCCAGAGGGUCAAGUAGCUCUACGUUCGUUAACAGUGUUGGAAGCCAAUACAAGCAAAGGUGCUCUGUGAGUAACCCACUUGUGCUUCAUGUCAGAAGCUGAUCCCACGUGGGGUCAGGAGGGAAGUUCUCCCUUUCUUCUCUCGUGUGCAGCGAGGUGAUGCUAACAGUGGCAGCGGGCAGGGAAAGCCAUACGCAGCUUCUGCCAAAGCUCUGGAUGCUGGCUGCAGCCAGCAGAGUACCGGACAGUAAGGUCCAAAGGUUUCAUCCGGUAAGGCAAUUCUACGUUCCUCCACUAAGGACAUUCAGGGAUUUAGUCAGCAGAGGAAUUGCUGGCGUAUUGGACAUCAUUAAAUUCUUUCCUUCUUUCUUCUUUUUUUUUCCUUUUUCUUUUUUUUUCUUUUCAUUAAUUUUUUGCAGGCUCUGUCAUGUCAUGUGCUCUUUCAUUUAAUUAUUGCCAACUAGUGUGAUUCAUGUAAUUAUUAAUUUUAUUGGAAAGAAGUGAAA